ACAUAUAAGGCCUUCAAGUUUUGGGGUCAAAUAGCCCAAAAACGAAACCCAAUACCAUGUUUCCUUCUGAAAUUAAAAUAAUAUAAUAUUCAAUUCGUCUCUUACACGCACAUCCGGUGCGCGUGUGUCGGUAUUCCUGAGGCAAGUUUUUCUGGGCAAAAGACAGCCUGGUCCCUCGAAUUUCAGCUCAAGAUUGUGGGGCAAAAAGGUUUAAACUGUCCACUUUUUCUUCUCUCUCCUACUAGGUUGCCCAACAACCUAAUUAAAACAUGGGCUUGCCCAAAUUUCUAAUUCAAACUUAAAAGUUGCCCAAUCUUCUAAUUUUCCCUUACUUUUAAAUAGAGAGCCUUCCUUCUUCUUUUCUCCUAUUUUGAAACUAGAGCGAAGCCCUGCAAAGAUCUAGAGUGACCAGGAAACCUCAGCCGUCAAGCUUAUCUUUUCCUUUUCUCUCUUACUCUCUCUCUCUCUCUCUCUCUC
RNAcentral lists this long non-coding RNA (477 nucleotides) under Brassica napus (rape). Its description in RNAcentral is "long non-coding RNA (BNAP_LNC018554)". Lineage: Eukaryota; Viridiplantae; Streptophyta; Magnoliopsida; Brassicales; Brassicaceae. The record is from RNAcentral.